Long non-coding RNA from Myotis daubentonii (Daubenton's bat), 536 nucleotides. RefSeq lists it as uncharacterized. The record is from RefSeq and is a predicted model, not a curated record. Lineage: Eukaryota; Metazoa; Chordata; Mammalia; Chiroptera; Vespertilionidae.
CACAAAAGUGCAGCUCGGUCAGUGAGCGCAGGAGAGCGGGUGUCAUCAGCAGAGCCAGGGCUCUGGUUUCACGUAAGCAGGAUGGUCAUUUUGCUGGUCGAGAAUCUACUCUUUCUGAAGCCAAUGGUCAUCCAGCAAACAAGAAACCUCCAACAGCGAAGGUGCCUCUCAGAUGAAGGAUUAAUGAUGUGAGGAAGCAUGACAGAUGUUGUCAUCGCUGAAUAACUGUAUGGGAAUACCAUGGCUCAUCUAUCCACUCACCUACUGACUGAAGGACAUGUUGGUUAGUUCCAAUGUUUGGUAAUUUGAAUAAAGCUGAUGAAAUAUGCCUGUGCAGGUUUUCAUAUGGACCUGCCUGCUGAUUUUUCAGUCCUCACCCAUACAGGGGCAGUCUAAUGAGAGCUGACUUAUGGACACUAUUCAUUCUGGAAAGCAGAAGAUAUUCACUCUGGGGCCUUUUCCCCUCAAAGCUCCUUAUUACCUAUUUGGCUCUCAGCUAUCAUUUCUGAUUGACAGAUAACUUCUGCAGAUGUAUU